This 58-nucleotide ribosomal RNA is filed under the name Chorda rigida. Its description in RNAcentral is "partial 28S ribosomal RNA". The record is from RNAcentral. Lineage: Eukaryota; Phaeophyceae; Laminariales; Chordaceae.
UUCGGACCUCCAAUCAAGCAAGAGGACCCGCUGAAUUUAAGCAUAUAACUAAGCGGAG